GUCAUGGAGAACUCAUCAAAUCUUAUCAUCAGUCAUAUGCCAGAUUGGCUCGACUCGAUUCAUCUAUGAAUCCCAUGAAAACUCUUUUUUAGUAUUUACUCUUGCUCUAGCUAGAGACUUCUUAAACUCAGUGUUGUGAAUCACAUAAGACUACUCUUUUUCUACCAAAGUCUAUAGAUUCUAUCUAGAUGUAUCCUACUCCAAACAGCGAACCUAAACCUACAAUAGCCAACAUACACAGCAAAGAACUGAAUGGCUAAAGACCAAGAGAACGUGUAGUCAAACUAAGUAACUUUGCUAUAAAUAGCCAAUACACCAC
Molecule: long non-coding RNA, 319 nt
Filed under: Elaeis guineensis (African oil palm)
Lineage: Eukaryota; Viridiplantae; Streptophyta; Magnoliopsida; Arecales; Arecaceae
Description: long non-coding RNA (EGUI_LNC053385)
Source: RNAcentral